CCUGUUCCAGUGCCCAACCACCCUCCUGGAUGAAGAACCUUUUUCUAAUAUCCACCCUAAACCUCCCCUGACAACUAUGAUCAUUAAAUGGAUGCAAAUUGUUACCGUUUUAUCCCUGAGUCGUUCUCCAUGGAUAAGAAAAUCAGCACAGCUAUUCUCUUCCUGGGGAAUGACUUUGAAGACUGUGACACAGCUUAGUCCACCCCCUCCAAGUGGUAACCAUCCACCACUUGAGUCAUCCCGGGUCAUCACCACAGCUCGCACUCGUGCAUAACUAUUACUGAAAGAGAUGCAAAAGAAGAAAUUAGUUUUUCAAAAACAGAAACCAGCAAAGUCUAGUUAAAAACAAAACAAAACAACAAACCCAUAACCAAGGUCACAAUAAUUAACACUGUCUUUCCACAACUGUCAUCCUAGAAGAAACCCAUAGACCACACUCUAAAAAAUGUUCCUCUGUACUUUUAUGACUUCAUUAGGACUUUUUGGAGCUCACAUGUAAUUUCUUGUAAAGAAACUUAACCAGAGAAUAUAGUUCCCAAGUCAAAACUGAUAUCCUUCUAAAAACUUCACAGUCAGUAAUCUAGCUAGAGGGUCAGGAAGAGAGUAAGAAUCAACUCCCGAUUUAUUUUAGACUAAUCAUGAAGCCAGUCAGUCACCAUGAAAUUGCACAGAAAAGAGAACAAGAAAGCAGAAAGAGGUCAGGCCUUCUGUCACUGAAAUCUAAACACGAACAGGCUUCUAGCCAGAAAACCCUGCUUCCCUUCAUCCAUCCCUCCUCCCCACACACAUAACCUGUCCUUUGCAAGGGUAGGUCAGGACACACACAUUGUGGGGUUCAACAACAGAACCAGUUACAGAUACUUAAAAUCACUAUUUGCAGUAUCUACUAGCUGGUUCUCUCCUGUAGUGAAAGCAUUUCACAACUGAACAGCUUUUUCCCAUCAUUUAACAUUUUUAUAAAAUACACAAAUGAUGAUCAUGUCAUUACUUAGGAGCCAAAUCGCUUUUUCAGAAAGGAAAAAGAGGUUUUGGUGAUCUCUCUCUCCUUUUAUUUCUUCCUUUUAAAUUAAAUGACAAGUUUUAAUUUUGAUUAUGAAUUUGCCAGUAUAUCAGUUGGAAAACCCCAUGGUUUACCAAGGAUGUUAUAAGAUCCUAUAUUCGAAGUAUGGUUUACUGCAUGAAUGUAACAGUUGAUGAAUGAAUAUUCAAACACCUUAAAUAUGAUUCAUGUUAUCUUUUGCAACAUAUUCUGGAUUGAGGGUUUAAGUACUUAUGCCAGCUGGCAUUAGUGAUGUCAAAUUUAAGGGCUGAAAAGGAAAUAUUAGAAGAGGACAAAGUUAUUCCUUCUGUACAAAAUUACUUGUGAUAAAACCAUUCACCAAGCUACUGUACUUUUAAAAGAUCACUGCUUUAUUUUUUUCCCCCAACUAUACUAAAAUAACCAAGGUAGGCUUUUUUGUGUAAUUAAUAUAUUACAUUCUCACACACACAUAUGAUUCACACAUAUGAUUCAUUUGUGUGUGUGUGUAUAUAUAUAUAUGUAUAUAAAAAGGAAUUCUGCUGCAAGCAUCUAAGCUUAAAUACAUAAUGGUUUGCAAAAUAAAACAAGAUUAUAAAUCUUUAGCUUACAGGCAGCUGAAUUUGUUAAUAGAUUUUGUUUGCCCCCUCCAAGCAAAUCCCAGCCCCCUCCUCUCUCUAAAAAUCACAGUUAAAAUGACAGUUCAGUCAGUGUUUCUCACCAUUUCUGUACCAACUUACUUCAGUAACUACUCAAACACAGCAGACAAAUAUCAUGAAGAAAAAUCCAAUCCUUCUUUGUAUGCAUCUAUCGCAUUCUAAUAUCGGCAAACAAAAAAUGGCUACAUCUUGAUGCUUAAUACUGUUACUGAAAGUUGAAUCAUUCAUUCAUUGGUCUCUAUCACCCUAUUCACUCCAAUACAGGUACAAAUUGUAGUUGUACACUUCAGACACAGGUAGUCUUUCGUCUCAUUUCUCUCAGAAGAGCCUCUUCUGACAGAAACUGAGGACACCGGGACUUUUCUCUGAAAAAGUAAGAAACAGGAUGCACCAACUGGUUAAGCCUACACACUGGUUUUGCUAUUGUCCAUUUAAGUGAAACACAAAUUUAGCUCUGAAGUUAUUAAUUCUAUAAAUUUGGUUGUAAAUCUGAAUAUUAGAGCUUUCUUUUGUAUAUCAACAGACUGCAGCAAGAGUUCAGUUAAACAUUAUUUAGGGAUAUCACAGAACUUAGGCUACAUAAGAAAACUUAAACUAUAACAUAUUAAUUUUUCCUAAAAUGAAACUUUACACUCCACAUUAAUUUUCUUUCCAAGAAUUGCUAAGAAGAUGUAAAGAUGGAGGUUUCUUUAUCAUACCCUGUCAGUGUUGGGGUUUUCCCCCCCUCCCUAUACUGAGAUGUCUAGUCUAAUUAACAAUCUUGUGUUUUGCUUCCCAUAUAUUCCAAGUGGUUUUAAACAUUUAUGCUUUCAAAUAUUUUGGAAAUGGCUACCAAAUCCACUGUAUUAGUGCAAGAGCCAAAAUAAAAUUCCCCAACAGGUAAUAUUUAAUGAAUAACCUCUUAAAUUGAAAUAGUUUUUCCAUACAACCUCCCUGUAAAUUAAAUAGAUAAAUUCAUUACUUUACUUGCAACAAUGCCAAAGACUACAAAGAGAUUUUUUAGUUUUUUAGUUUCUGUUGGUGGCUGGUUUUUAACAUUAUUUUUUAUAUUUGAAUGGAACUCACAAUUGGUAACAAAUGCUAUUUUUAGUGACAAUACAACUGGUUUGCAAUUAGCCAAAAUGCAGUGGCAGGACUUACAAAUGAUUUCCAUUUCCAAAAUCCUCUGUAAACAAAACAGCAUCUGCCCGUCUCGCUACUGGUGUCACCAAAAGCACUCAGAUGUCUUUUAUCUGUAAGUACUAUAACCCCACCUACUCCUGGGAACUUCAGAACAAAUUGCUAAACUGCUGGUCUAGCUUAGCUGUAGGAAAAAGGGCAGACAAGGCUCCAGUGUUUUGCUAACACAGUCUAACGUUUUUACUUCCUCCUGCAUGUUUAGUAGCUCUAUCAGGAAUACCUGAACAAAAGAAAAACCAAAAAAACAGGGCAAUCAGUUGAGCAUUGCUCUUAUGAAGCCUUUUACCGGAGCUACCACGAACAUGAGAAAUGGAGCAUGAAGAGCAGCAUGCAACUGCAGGCCCAAAUCUAGUGUACUGCAGCCAGCUUUUCCUGAGACUCCCUGAUUUUGCUUGUGGUCACUUGCUCUUGAGGCAGAGCAAGGUUUACAGGAAAUGGUAUUCUGGCCAUAGGAGUAUGCUGCUUCCCAAAAGUCAGUGCUGAGCACCAGCGAAAAGUGGGGACAAGAAUGUUGUCCAAGAUCAGUUCCUAACAACGAAGGAAACAGAUCUCUCUCAUGUCUGAAUGCCUCAGUACUGUAAAGUUCCUAUCGUUACCAUCAAGAAACCUGGAUGUGCAAGUGGAAUUCUAAACUGAACCCUAGGAGAAAAUGACGCUCUUAGAUUUGGUAAAAAUAUGGUUUCUUUCAAAGCUGGAAAGCAGGUUUGCAGAAAAGGACCUCAACUUUCAUACGGAUACCAAGCUGAACAUAAGCCAAAAACAUGCCCUGGGGACAAAGGAGGCCAACAAUAUCCCAGCUGCAUUAGAAGUGUUGCCAGCAGGUCUCAGGAGGUGAUCCCGCCCCUCUUCUCAGCACUAGUGAGGCCAGAUCUGGAGAGCUGUGUCCAGUGUUGGGCUCCCAAAUAAUGAAAAACAUGGAGCUCCUGGAGUGGGUCCAGCAGAGUGCAACAAAAAUGAUUAAGGGACUGAAGCAUCUGUCAUAUGAGGGAAAGCUGAGGGAGCUGGGGCUGCUCAGCCUCAAGAAGAAAAGACUCGUGGGUAUCUUAUCAGUGUAUACAAAUACCUGAAGGGAGGGUGCAAAGAGGAUGGAGACAGGCUCUUUUCAGAGGUGCCCAGUCAGAGGACCAGAGGCAACGGGCACAAACUGAAACACAGGAGGUUCCAUUUGAACAUCAGCAACCACUUUUUCACUGUGAGGAUGCCUGAGCACUGGCCAGGUUAUCCAGAGAAGUUGUGGUGUCUCCAUACUUGGAGAGUUUCAAAAGACAUCUGGACACAGUCCUGGGUAAUCUGCUUUAGGAUGCCCUUCCUUGAGCAGGUGUGGACAACAUGAACUCCAGAGGUGCCUUCCAAGUUCAAUUAUUCUUUUUUUAAAAAAUUUAAUAUCAUAUUUCAAAGCACAGCAAUUUCAAUAAUACAAUUUCAUAAAGAUAACCAAUAUGGGUUAAUUUAUGAGAAUUCAUGAUACUUCGAAGCAAGAGUUGUCACUGCGCACAACUGCUAUUUAAACACUUCUGACAAGGGGAAAAAAAAAAGGUGUUCUGAAAAAUCGUGACACACUCUGCUAUGAGAUUACACUAUCUUUGCUGGCAUGCAAGUAACAGCUCCAGGCUGAUCUGCAAAUGUGAAACGGUCAUGGAUCAAGGUUCUCUACCUUUGACUGGCACUUUACACACGUACUUUAACCCUUCCAACUUCUGGUGCAAUAUCCUUCUGUGUUUGUAGCCUUACCCAAAGAGCAUACAUGAAUCACACUUGGCUUUUUAUGGUUCUUAUUAUCCAAAAAGCUAAGCAGAAGAUUUUAUGAUUCUCAGCUAGAGAAGUGCUCAGGAGUACAUAAUACCAAACCAUUUAGCUAAAGUCUGUUUUACUUGCAGAUAGCCUUUUUUGAGUAUUGACUCAAUUUAGAAAAACAAAAUAAUGUCACCGGUAUCACAUGAGUGUAUCGGUGCACCGCUGAUGUUAUAAACCCCUUGUUACUAAAGGUUUAGAGAAUGAGUGCCACCAGCACAAAACAUUAAUGACUUGGCUAAAGCAAAAGAGAUGCAAAUAUAACACAAGUACUAAAGAAGACAUAUUUUACAUCAAGAAAACAUAUGACAGCGCAUAUUUUUUAACAAAGAGGAAAUUGCUGUAAUAGCAGGUACAUGAGGCUCUGCCUAACGUGACUAUUACCUUUCUCCUCUCAAAAUUAUCCCAGCAAAUCAGAGUAUACACCAAACUCUUACACUGGUAGAACUCAAAACUUGGCAGAUUUUCUCCUUUAAGAAAAGAGGCAAAAGGUACUCUUCAGAGUAAACAGCAACCAUACAUGGCCACUAUGCCUAGAAAGUUUAUUUCUGUGAGGAGUUUAGCAAGCAAAGACAUGUAUUUCCAGGGAGAAUUACAUACAAGUGCUGUUACAUUUAGGAUAUUGGUACCUACACUGAUUUACUGAAGAGCUUUGGAUUUUGCCAAAAAACCUGAAUGAAGCACUACUGCUCAAACAAAAAAAAAAAACCCAAAAACGAAAAUAACAACAACAACAAAAAAAAUCUUACAGGAACCUGAACUACCAAGCAAAAUGGCUUGAAACCAAAAUCAUAAAAGGGAAAAGCUACAUGGGAAACUGUAUUACAUAAGGAGGGGAUAACUGGUAUCCUGAAAGAGGCCUGAAGUACAUGAUUACAAUUAUUAUUUAGCAGAAGAGGCUUAUUAAAGAAGGGAUUAGACAGUGUACCUACAAUUCAAAAGGGAAAAUGAGAUACAAAUGAACAAGUGUCCAGAACAGGAAACUGUCAAAACAGUAUAUUGCUCUCAUGAAGUAUUCUCUUGGACACAAUAUCAGAAUUAAAAAAAAAAAUAAUUAAAAAAUAGGAAUGGAGUUCUAAUGCUCCUGUUUUAAUACAGACAAUUUAAGAUUUGUGACCAUGUAAAGUAAUCAAUGUUGCAAGGAAGAAUGGCUACUGCUGUAAGCACUUUUGCAAAGCACAAGAGCACAUGAAGAAUGGAGAAGCUGUUAAGAUGAUCUGAAAACCAUCAAAAUUACAUACAAAGUAGGUAUUUGACAUUUCUGUGAACAACAUUUUAGCUCUGCUCCCCGGCAUCUUUUCUUGUUUAAUAAUUGUAGCUAGUUUCUGUUAGUUCUGUAUGUUAUCGAUGAGCGCGUGUUAAAUGAAGUAAUAUUUUAGCAGACUAAAGAUGACAACGCA
This is a long non-coding RNA of Pipra filicauda (Wire-tailed manakin), 6047 nucleotides long. RefSeq lists it as uncharacterized. Lineage: Eukaryota; Metazoa; Chordata; Aves; Passeriformes; Pipridae. The transcript is spliced from 2 exons. The record is from RefSeq and is a predicted model, not a curated record.